CCCUAGCCCGGAUCAAAGCGACAUCCUAUUGUGCCGGGGUUCGGCACAAUAGAUACAGCGGAGAGCGGGAAAUAGC
This 76-nucleotide small RNA is filed under the name Flavobacterium xanthum. RNAcentral describes it as "Flavo-1 RNA". It matches the Rfam family "Flavo-1 RNA". The record is from RNAcentral. Lineage: Bacteria; Pseudomonadati; Bacteroidota; Flavobacteriia; Flavobacteriales; Flavobacteriaceae.